GGAUGCGAUCAUACAAGCAGUAAAGCACCGGAUCCCAUCAGAACUCCGAAGUUAAGCAUGCUUGGGCAAGAGUAGUACUAGGAUGGGUGACCUCCUGGGAAGUCCUCGUGUUGCAUUCC
Molecule: non-coding RNA, 119 nt
Organism: Triticum aestivum (bread wheat)
Lineage: Eukaryota; Viridiplantae; Streptophyta; Magnoliopsida; Poales; Poaceae
Source: Rfam